RNAcentral lists this ribosomal RNA (492 nucleotides) under uncultured bacterium. Its description in RNAcentral is "partial 16S ribosomal RNA". It matches the Rfam family "Bacterial small subunit ribosomal RNA", at positions 29 to 507 of the family's 1533-position model. The record is from RNAcentral.
AGUGAACGCUGGCGGUAGGCCUAACACAUGCAAGUCGAACGGCAGCACAGUAAGAGCUUGCUCUUACGGGUGGCGAGUGGCGGACGGGUGAGGAAUACAUCGGAAUCUACUUUUUCGUGGGGGAUAACGUAGGAAAACUUACGCUAAUACCGCAUACGACCUACGGGUGAAAGCAGGGGAUCUUCGGACCUUGCGCGAUUGAAUGAGCCGAUGUCGGAUUAGCUAGUUGGCGGGGUAAAGGCCCACCAAGGCGACGAUCCGUAGCUGGUCUGAGAGGAUGAUCACCCACACUGGAACUGAGACACGGUCCAGACUCCUACGGGAGGCAGCAGUGGGGAAUAUUGGACAAUGGGCGCAAGCCUGAUCCAGCCAUACCGCGUGGGUGAAGAAGGCCUUCGGGUUGUAAAGCCCUUUUGUUGGGAAAGAAAAGCAGCAGGUUAAUACCCCGCUGUUCUGACGGUACCCAAAGAAUAAGCACCGGCUAACUUCGUG